AUUGGGAGUUCAGGGCGCGGCU
Molecule: microRNA, 22 nt
Filed under: Tribolium castaneum (red flour beetle)
Lineage: Eukaryota; Metazoa; Arthropoda; Insecta; Coleoptera; Tenebrionidae
Description: tca-miR-11634-5p
Source: miRBase by way of RNAcentral